Pseudoliparis swirei is the source of this 1852-nucleotide long non-coding RNA. RefSeq lists it as uncharacterized. The transcript is spliced from 7 exons. NCBI's taxonomy places the organism in Eukaryota, Metazoa, Chordata, Actinopteri, Perciformes, Liparidae. The record is from RefSeq and is a predicted model, not a curated record.
CCUAUCCGCCCUCCUGUCGCACUCGGUUUGGUCAUGCCACCGGAUUCGCGCACCAUCAGACAGCGUUGUGACUGCGGUGGAUGCUCCACGUUGUUGCCCUUCGACUUUUCAAACUGGUAUUUUCAAAACUGCAGCUCUUUGCGCCAGAAGUACGAGUUAGUUGGUGAUGGUGUAUAAGCUGAUGUUGCUACUGCACGUGUCCCCUCUGCCAGGGCUGGUCCAGCUAACUACCAUGUGUGGUUCUCAUGGAGCUAUCUUCUGCAGCUAGCGCUGAAUUGUCAGUGGUUAGGUUACUUAAGCUCCAACCCAAGGGUGCGCGAUGGAAGCUGAGCGAGCUAACCGCUAGCCCGCGAGCUAAUAACGAGCGCUAGCUCGCGAGCUAAUAGCGCUAGCUCGCGAGCUAAUAGCGAGCGCCAGCACAGACCUGUUUUAAUUUAAUUCUGCAUGUAUUGAGUUCUCAACACGUAACUUAGAAUUUGCAAUGUCAUCCUCACAGUUGUACAGAAGUGACAACACUGUUGAUCGCCAUCUCUACAAUUCAGGUAAGCACACAUUCUUUGGAAGGAAAUGUUUUCACAGCAACUUAAAGACACAUUUGAGAGGGAACCGUAUAACCUGUUUAACUUUAUAAUGACCAGAUUUGUAUUAAUUCAUUAAAAUACUAUCUUAAUAGCGUAGUGUUUGUUAGGAUCUGUGUGUUUCCUGUUUUAUGUUGAAGUCCCUGUCUCGUUUCCUGUUUCCCUGCUCUUCCCUCCCUGUGCUUGUCUGUUUCUUUCCUGAUUGUUUCCAGCCACGCCCUGAUUGUUUCCACCUGUGUCUCGUUCCCCUGUGUAUUUAAUCUGUGUCCUUCUGUUUGUCUGGUGUCAGAUCGUCUUUUUUCGUUCCCGUGUGGUGUUGUCCGUGUUCCUGUACUGAGAAUAAACUCAGUUUUUCGUGAAACUCCUGCUGCGUUUGGGUCCUCCACACCACGCAUCCGUAACAGUGUUUUUAUAAAAAUGACUUGACAUGCUAUAUAAGCACUACAAAUUAAUACAAUUGAGAACAAAUAGAUAUUGUAUAUUUCCUGAAAGAAAAGAUGCAUUUCAAACAUUGUUUGUAUUUUGGUUUGUUUUAGAUAAAAUGAACAGAAAGAAUGGGCCUGUCUCCAGCUCCACCAUUAGACGGAGGGUCCGUCAAGAUGUUUUGACUACAUCACUGUGAUUGAUGGGAAACUGAAUACAACUUUGACUGAUGUUCCACUUCAUAGAAUUGUUGACUAACAAAACGGUAGCAGUAGUGCCACAAAGCUAUACCAGCUUUGUGGCACUACUGCUACCGUUUUGGCCGAAUUAUCCGAGGGACGAAAGGGUGGACAAGGCUGUCAGAAGCGCCGAACAACCUGGACCAGACUGGCAGACACGUGACGUCAGAGUAAUUGGAUCAUGCGAUAAUUACUUGGUGGAAAUAUAUGUCUUGCGACACAUCAGAUCUCCAGUCAGAAGAGGAGGCAAUUCCUAAAAAGAGGAAGCCAAUGCCGGUGACAGCGAACACGCCAGGGGGACACGCCCACCUGGCGAGGGGCGUGGUGUGGUUCAGACACCAUUGCCUGCUGUGCUGUUCCAGUUCAAAUCCUAGGCAUGCUGGAGACAAUUACAGAGGUGAGAGACCCGGUUCCGUUUCCGUGUACCACAAUGGAGGAAGUGGACCUUUUUGAGCAACGGCUCAAAGAUCCCGUCAACAUUCUAAUGAGUGAUGCCGUCAGAAAGAAUCAUGCCACACAUGCAUCCACUGAUGAACAGAUUCUAAAGCAUGCCAUUAGGUGGUUCAACCUGGCAGCAAACCGGGGUAGCUCCAGGAGGCGUGCUACUGUCGA